RNAcentral lists this transfer RNA (85 nucleotides) under Felis catus (domestic cat). It matches the Rfam family "tRNA". From Rfam's summary of the family: Transfer RNA (tRNA) molecules are approximately 80 nucleotides in length. Their secondary structure includes four short double-helical elements and three loops (D, anti-codon, and T loops). The record is from Rfam by way of RNAcentral. Lineage: Eukaryota; Metazoa; Chordata; Mammalia; Carnivora; Felidae. RNAcentral also lists the same sequence under 4 other names.
GCCUGGGUGGCUCAGUCGGUUGAGCGUCUGACUUCGGCUCAGGUCAUGAUCUCACAGCUCGUGAGUUCGAGCCCCGCAUCGGGCU